GUCAUAACAAAGAUCACUUUCUUUUCUGUAUGCUUGCACAUAUGAGCUAAUAUUGCAGUCACAGCACUGGGCAUCAUCUGCAGUCAAGACUGGGGUCAUAAGCUGUCAUAGGAGGCCAAUCCACAAUUGGGCUUUGACAACUUUGCGACGCCUUUGUGAUUUCUCUGAGACGCUUUAAAUAAGCUGUUUAUCAUAGUUAUUUCCAGAGAUUGUAUUACAAUUAUGUAAUCAUUAAAAGUUAUAGUGUUGAGGGAAAACUAAAUUAAAUGGACAUGUAAUGAACCCA
Dreissena polymorpha is the source of this 286-nucleotide long non-coding RNA. RefSeq lists it as uncharacterized. The transcript has 2 exons. Lineage: Eukaryota; Metazoa; Mollusca; Bivalvia; Myida; Dreissenidae. The record is from RefSeq and is a predicted model, not a curated record.